Molecule: ribosomal RNA, 483 nt
Filed under: uncultured bacterium
Lineage: Bacteria
Description: partial 16S ribosomal RNA
Rfam family: Bacterial small subunit ribosomal RNA
Source: RNAcentral
UUGCACGCUGGCGGCAGGCCUAACACAUGCCAGUCGAGCGGAUGAAGGGAGCUUGCUCCUGGAUUCAGCGGCGGACGGGUGAGUAAUGCCUAGGAAUCUGCCUGGUAGUGGGGGAUAACGUCCGGAAACGGGCGCUAAUACCGCAUACGUCCUGAGGGAGAAAGUGGGGGAUCUUCGGCCCUCACGCUAUCAGAUGAGCCUAGGUCGGAUUAGCUAGUUGGUGGGGUAAAGGCCUACCAAGGCGACGAUCCGUAACUGGUCUGAGAGGAUGAUCAGUCACACUGGAACUGAGACACGGUCCAGACUCCUACGGGAGGCAGCAGUGGGGAAUAUUGGACAAUGGGCGAAAGCCUGAUCCAGCCAUGCCGCGUGUGUGAAGAAGGUCUUCGGAUUGUAAAGCACUUUAAGUUGGGAGGAAGGGCAGUAAGUUAAUACCUUGCUGUUUUGACGUUACCAACAGAAUAAGCACCGGCUAACUUCGUG